Molecule: long non-coding RNA, 270 nt
Filed under: Coturnix japonica (Japanese quail)
Lineage: Eukaryota; Metazoa; Chordata; Aves; Galliformes; Phasianidae
Description: lncRNA (ENSCJPG00005011123.1)
Source: RNAcentral
AUGGUCCCACCGAGCACAGGGGGUCUGGAAGCAGUAGGAGCUUUCUGGAAGGAAGGAGCUCAAAGUGUGUUGUUAAUGGGAAGGGGAAAAAAAAAAGCAAACCAGCUCUUCUAUCUGGAAGAUUGUGAAAUAUUUCCCAACAUUUCACAUACUGAGACCAGAAGUAGGGAGAAGACUCACAAUGGAAGGACCUUUUCUGUCUUUGAAUGUGUAAGUCCUACUUUGUAUUGAGCAUGAUUAUGUCACAGACAUUCAGUCUCUGGUGCCUCA